GAUGAACGCUGACAGAAUGCUUAACACAUGCAAGUCGAUGGGGAAGUGGUGCUUGCACCAUGGUAACCAUGGCGGACGGGUGAGUAACGCGUAAGGAACUUACCUGCGGGACCGGGAUAACAGCAGGAAACUGCUGACAAGACCGGAUAAGGUCAUUAAGCUGCAUAGCUUAGCGAUGAAAGGAGACGCCUGCGGAGAGCCUUGCGUCCUAUUAGCUAGUUGGAGGGGUAACGGCCCACCAAGGCGAAGAUAGGUAGCCGGCCUGAGAGGGUGGACGGCCACAAGGGGACUGAGAUACGGCCCUUACUCCUACGGGAGGCAGCAGUGGGGAAUAUUGGACAAUGGGGGCAACCCUGAUCCAGCAAUUCUGUGUGCACGAAGACGGUUUUCGGAUUGUAAAGUGCUUUCAGCAGGGAAGAAGGAAGUGACGGUACCUGCAGAAGAAGCGACGGCUAAAUACGUG
This 463-nucleotide ribosomal RNA is filed under the name uncultured bacterium. RNAcentral describes it as "partial 16S ribosomal RNA". It matches the Rfam family "Bacterial small subunit ribosomal RNA", at positions 28 to 507 of the family's 1533-position model. The record is from RNAcentral.